ACGUAGGGUGCGUGCGUUAAUCGGAAUUACUGGGCGUAAAGCGUGCGCAGGCGGCUCUUUAAGACAGGUGUGAAAUCCCCGAGCUUAACUUGGGAAUGGCGCUUGUGACUGAGGAGCUUGAGUGCGGAAGAGGGAGAUGGAAUUCCCGGUGUAGCAGUGAAAUGCGUAGAGAUCGGGAGGAACAUCUGUGGCGAAGGCGACUGCCUGGACCAGCACUGACACUGAGGCACGAAAGCGUGGGGAGCAAACAGGA
Molecule: ribosomal RNA, 253 nt
Filed under: uncultured prokaryote
Description: partial 16S ribosomal RNA
Rfam family: Bacterial small subunit ribosomal RNA
Source: RNAcentral